Long non-coding RNA from Galeopterus variegatus (Sunda flying lemur), 867 nucleotides. RefSeq lists it as uncharacterized. The record is from RefSeq and is a predicted model, not a curated record. NCBI's taxonomy places the organism in Eukaryota, Metazoa, Chordata, Mammalia, Dermoptera, Cynocephalidae. The transcript has 5 exons.
GGAAAACACGCAGUCGGACCGCCGAGUCUCCUGAGCUUGCGUCGUGGCGGCGAUAGGUUUAGAGCUCGGGCGUGAGGACACUGCUGAUCUCCUUCGGGAUCCGAGCGCGGCCCGAAGCCUGAGCGGCGGCGGGGCAUUACUUUAAGAGCAAGGGGCCUUUACUGACAUGGUGAAUGUCUUUCUCCCGUCUCCAGAUUAUUUCAAAUUGGUAAUCCCGAUCCUGUAUGAGACUGGGCUGUUCUGUGCCCAGGCGGCGUUGUGUGCAAUUCGGGUUAACGAGGGGCGGGGGAGGGUUCAGUGUUGAAAUCUGACAUUCUUUGAGAAUGUUUAAUUUUAAACAUACCGAUCCCCUGCAGGAACAAUGGCGCCGUCUUUCAAUGCUGUAUCAGAGCACUACUGUGGAUAUGCUAAGAUGUAUAAGCAAAUCCCAAAACGUCUAGUAGAAUAUUCAAUGAGAAAUUACAUGAUUAAAACCUGACAAUCUUCAUAGUGUCCUGGUUGUGAAAAUACUAACGAAGCUAUUGGCGUCACUGACUAGCAACUUCAUUUUAAAUGAGGGUCGCUGUCAGCCCAAUGAAAGAGGCCAGCUUGCUGUGAAGUUCCUGAAGUGCAACGAUAUCUGGCUAGUACCACGAGGUUUGUUGUAUGGAAUGCUGGUAUUAAGGAAAACAUCCAGAAAAAGCUCUUCGUUUUACAAACAUCAAAAGGAAACAAACAAAUUUUGGAUGAUAUUUGGUUUUUUAAUGGAAAAGUAUUUGCUUUCAGCUAACCGGCCUUGUAAUCAAAUUCUGAAUGAGUGUUUCACCUUUAGCUGCCUGUUUGAAUUUAAAAUGCAUAAUUGCAAUUAAAAUUGAGUGAAAUUUUAUA